Molecule: long non-coding RNA, 342 nt
Filed under: Nicotiana benthamiana
Lineage: Eukaryota; Viridiplantae; Streptophyta; Magnoliopsida; Solanales; Solanaceae
Description: long non-coding RNA (NBEN_LNC025019)
Source: RNAcentral
UUUUAUUAAUCUUCCCUACUCCAAGUUCUUCAAUACAGUUCUGGAAAUCAGCUGUCUCUAGGGGGUGCACUGGUUGGCCAUUUAGUCUGUCAUCCACCCCCAGUACACUGUUAAAAUCACCCAGAAUUAGCCAUGGUCCAGUAUAUUGGAGGUUUCUCAAGUCUGCCACAGUGGCAUUCUUUGUUGAGUGGUGUGAAGUCCAUAUACAAAGGUGAUGUUGCUGGAGAAAUCUGAGUGCUUGUCUAUCACCUUGCAAUGGAACAGUUGAUCAGUAACUUGUAGAAUUGUCAUCUGAAGAUUGGCUGCUUUCCACAUAAUCCAUAUUCUUCCAUUGGGAGCAUA